AAAAAUCUUACUAACUAUAUUAGUUUUACCAUUUGUAACAACUGUAAAAGCUGUUACAGUCGCUCUGCUCGAAGCGAUGUAGCAUUGGAAACAAUGGUACUAUGAAUUGUAGCGGGUGUGUGGCAACCCCAAAUAGUCACGGUGGUACUCUGUGCGGGUAUUCUAACAACGAUAUAAUUUAGAAAGUAAGCUAAAUCGGGACUUCUGGGGCGGAGUACAGAAGAAUAGACGAACUAGUCUAUGUUAGAAUAAGU
RNAcentral lists this non-coding RNA (254 nucleotides) under unclassified sequences. Its description in RNAcentral is "ARRPOF RNA". It matches the Rfam family "ARRPOF RNA". The record is from Rfam by way of RNAcentral.